RNAcentral lists this ribosomal RNA (2919 nucleotides) under Escherichia coli. RNAcentral describes it as "bacterial LSU rRNA". It matches the Rfam family "Bacterial large subunit ribosomal RNA". Lineage: Bacteria; Pseudomonadati; Pseudomonadota; Gammaproteobacteria; Enterobacterales; Enterobacteriaceae. The record is from RNAcentral.
GGGUUGUGAGGUUAAGCGACUAAGCGUACACGGUGGAUGCCCUGGCAGUCAGAGGCGAUGAAGGACGUGCUAAUCUGCGAUAAGCGUCGGUAAGGUGAUAUGAACCGUUAUAACCGGCGAUUUCCGAAUGGGGAAACCCAGUGUGUUUCGACACACUAUCAUUAACUGAAUCCAUAGGUUAAUGAGGCGAACCGGGGGAACUGAAACAUCUAAGUACCCCGAGGAAAAGAAAUCAACCGAGAUUCCCCCAGUAGCGGCGAGCGAACGGGGAGGAGCCCAGAGCCUGAAUCAGUGUGUGUGUUAGUGGAAGCGUCUGGAAAGGCGCGCGAUACAGGGUGACAGCCCCGUACACAAAAAUGCACAUGCUGUGAGCUCGAUGAGUAGGGCGGGACACGUGGUAUCCUGUCUGAAUAUGGGGGGACCAUCCUCCAAGGCUAAAUACUCCUGACUGACCGAUAGUGAACCAGUACCGUGAGGGAAAGGCGAAAAGAACCCCGGCGAGGGGAGUGAAAAAGAACCUGAAACCGUGUACGUACAAGCAGUGGGAGCCCUCUUUGUGACUGCGUACCUUUUGUAUAAUGGGUCAGCGACUUAUAUUCUGUAGCAAGGUUAACCGAAUAGGGGAGCCGAAGGGAAACCGAGUCUUAACUGGGCGUUAAGUUGCAGGGUAUAGACCCGAAACCCGGUGAUCUAGCCAUGGGCAGGUUGAAGGUUGGGUAACACUAACUGGAGGACCGAACCGACUAAUGUUGAAAAAUUAGCGGAUGACUUGUGGCUGGGGGUGAAAGGCCAAUCAAACCGGGAGAUAGCUGGUUCUCCCCGAAAGCUAUUUAGGUAGCGCCUCGUGAAUUCAUCUCCGGGGGUAGAGCACUGUUUCGGCAAGGGGGUCAUCCCGACUUACCAACCCGAUGCAAACUGCGAAUACCGGAGAAUGUUAUCACGGGAGACACACGGCGGGUGCUAACGUCCGUCGUGAAGAGGGAAACAACCCAGACCGCCAGCUAAGGUCCCAAAGUCAUGGUUAAGUGGGAAACGAUGUGGGAAGGCCCAGACAGCCAGGAUGUUGGCUUAGAAGCAGCCAUCAUUUAAAGAAAGCGUAAUAGCUCACUGGUCGAGUCGGCCUGCGCGGAAGAUGUAACGGGGCUAAACCAUGCACCGAAGCUGCGGCAGCGACACUAUGUGUUGUUGGGUAGGGGAGCGUUCUGUAAGCCUGUGAAGGUGUACUGUGAGGUAUGCUGGAGGUAUCAGAAGUGCGAAUGCUGACAUAAGUAACGAUAAAGCGGGUGAAAAGCCCGCUCGCCGGAAGACCAAGGGUUCCUGUCCAACGUUAAUCGGGGCAGGGUGAGUCGACCCCUAAGGCGAGGCCGAAAGGCGUAGUCGAUGGGAAACAGGUUAAUAUUCCUGUACUUGGUGUUACUGCGAAGGGGGGACGGAGAAGGCUAUGUUGGCCGGGCGACGGUUGUCCCGGUUUAAGCGUGUAGGCUGGUUUUCCAGGCAAAUCCGGAAAAUCAAGGCUGAGGCGUGAUGACGAGGCACUACGGUGCUGAAGCAACAAAUGCCCUGCUUCCAGGAAAAGCCUCUAAGCAUCAGGUAACAUCAAAUCGUACCCCAAACCGACACAGGUGGUCAGGUAGAGAAUACCAAGGCGCUUGAGAGAACUCGGGUGAAGGAACUAGGCAAAAUGGUGCCGUAACUUCGGGAGAAGGCACGCUGAUAUGUAGGUGAAGUCCCUCGCGGAUGGAGCUGAAAUCAGUCGAAGAUACCAGCUGGCUGCAACUGUUUAUUAAAAACACAGCACUGUGCAAACACGAAAGUGGACGUAUACGGUGUGACGCCUGCCCGGUGCCGGAAGGUUAAUUGAUGGGGUCAGCGCAAGCGAAGCUCUUGAUCGAAGCCCCGGUAAACGGCGGCCGUAACUAUAACGGUCCUAAGGUAGCGAAAUUCCUUGUCGGGUAAGUUCCGACCUGCACGAAUGGCGUAAUGAUGGCCAGGCUGUCUCCACCCGAGACUCAGUGAAAUUGAACUCGCUGUGAAGAUGCAGUGUACCCGCGGCAAGACGGAAAGACCCCGUGAACCUUUACUAUAGCUUGACACUGAACAUUGAGCCUUGAUGUGUAGGAUAGGUGGGAGGCUUUGAAGUGUGGACGCCAGUCUGCAUGGAGCCGACCUUGAAAUACCACCCUUUAAUGUUUGAUGUUCUAACGUUGACCCGUGAUCCGGGUUGCGGACAGUGUCUGGUGGGUAGUUUGACUGGGGCGGUCUCCUCCUAAAGAGUAACGGAGGAGCACGAAGGUUGGCUAAUCCUGGUCGGACAUCAGGAGGUUAGUGCAAUGGCAUAAGCCAGCUUGACUGCGAGCGUGACGGCGCGAGCAGGUGCGAAAGCAGGUCAUAGUGAUCCGGUGGUUCUGAAUGGAAGGGCCAUCGCUCAACGGAUAAAAGGUACUCCGGGGAUAACAGGCUGAUACCGCCCAAGAGUUCAUAUCGACGGCGGUGUUUGGCACCUCGAUGUCGGCUCAUCACAUCCUGGGGCUGAAGUAGGUCCCAAGGGUAUGGCUGUUCGCCAUUUAAAGUGGUACGCGAGCUGGGUUUAGAACGUCGUGAGACAGUUCGGUCCCUAUCUGCCGUGGGCGCUGGAGAACUGAGGGGGGCUGCUCCUAGUACGAGAGGACCGGAGUGGACGCAUCACUGGUGUUCGGGUUGUCAUGCCAAUGGCACUGCCCGGUAGCUAAAUGCGGAAGAGAUAAGUGCUGAAAGCAUCUAAGCACGAAACUUGCCCCGAGAUGAGUUCUCCCUGACUCCUUGAGAGUCCUGAAGGAACGUUGAAGACGACGACGUUGAUAGGCCGGGUGUGUAAGCGCAGCGAUGCGUUGAGCUAACCGGUACUAAUGAACCGUGAGGCUUAACCUUACAACGCCGAAG